This 422-nucleotide ribosomal RNA is filed under the name uncultured bacterium. RNAcentral describes it as "partial 16S ribosomal RNA". It matches the Rfam family "Bacterial small subunit ribosomal RNA", at positions 359 to 774 of the family's 1533-position model. The record is from RNAcentral.
GAUAUUGGACAAUGGGGGCAACCCUGAUCCAGCCAUCCCGCGUGUGCGAUGAAGGCCUUCGGGUUGUAAAGCACUUUUGGCAGGGAAGAAAAUGCUCUGGCUAAGACUCUGAGCUGCUGACGGUACCUGCAGCAUAAGCACCGGCUAACUACUUGCUAUCAGCCGCGGUAAUACGUAGGGUGCAAGCGUUAAUCGGAAUUACUGGGCGUAAAGCGUGCGCAGGCGGUUCGGCAAGAAGGAUGUGAAAUCCCAGGGCUUAACCUUGGAACUGCAUUCUUAACUGCCGGGCUAGAGUAUGUCAGAGGGGGGUAGAAUUCCGCGUGUAGCAGUGAAAUGCGUAGAGAUGCGGAGGAAUACCGAUGGCGAAGGCAGCCCCCUGGGAUAAUACUGACGCUCAUGCACGAAAGCGUGGGGAGCAAACA